GGUAAAAUGACUGAGAGCCAAGUGGUGGACUGUAGUCCCACCAACAGAGGUUAAAGUCCUCUUUUUACCA
RNAcentral lists this transfer RNA (70 nucleotides) under Amblychaeturichthys hexanema. RNAcentral's name for it is "tRNA-Tyr". It matches the Rfam family "tRNA". Rfam says of the family: Transfer RNA (tRNA) molecules are approximately 80 nucleotides in length. Their secondary structure includes four short double-helical elements and three loops (D, anti-codon, and T loops). Lineage: Eukaryota; Metazoa; Chordata; Actinopteri; Gobiiformes; Gobiidae. The record is from RNAcentral. RNAcentral also lists the same sequence under 1 other name.